AAGGUAGCCGUAUCGGAAGGUGCGGCUGGAUCACCUCCUUUUGAGUAUGGUGAAUAUAAUUGUCUUAUCAGGCGUCCUCACAAGUUACUUGCAUUCAGGGUUUGAUGUUGGCAUAGGUUUGGGUUUAUGUUGGCGAUUUUUGUUCUGGGGGCCUUAGCUCAGCUGGUAGAGCACCUGCUUUGCAAGCAGGGGGUCGUCGGUUCGAUCCCGACAGGCUCCACCAUGAAAGUAUUUAUGGGUCUGUAGCUCAGGUGGUUAGAGCGCACCCCUGAUAAGGGUGAGGUCGGUGGUUCGAGUCCUCCCAGACCCACCAAUGUUAUAUCAAUUAUUCUGAAUGUGGUUUGCGCAUUUUUUAUGCUUAUCAGCCUUGGAGCUGUGAAGCGUUCUUUUAUAAUUUGAUGAUGUAGCAAGCGUUUGAACUUUUUAUUAAUAAUUUCUCAUUGGAAGCCUUAAGUGACAAUGUUUAUCCAUUGUCUUGUAGAUUUUGAGGCGACUUUGGGUUAUAUGGUCAAGCGAAUAAGCGCACACGG
This 530-nucleotide unclassified non-coding RNA is filed under the name Xylella fastidiosa. RNAcentral's name for it is "partial 16S-23S ribosomal RNA intergenic spacer". The stretch from base 148 to 220 matches the Rfam family "tRNA". Lineage: Bacteria; Pseudomonadati; Pseudomonadota; Gammaproteobacteria; Lysobacterales; Lysobacteraceae. The record is from RNAcentral.